Phyllopteryx taeniolatus (common seadragon) is the source of this 1440-nucleotide long non-coding RNA. RefSeq lists it as uncharacterized. The record is from RefSeq and is a predicted model, not a curated record. Lineage: Eukaryota; Metazoa; Chordata; Actinopteri; Syngnathiformes; Syngnathidae. The transcript is spliced from 2 exons.
UUCCAAGCGCUUUACCUGCACGGUGCCAGCCAUAGCUGAGUUUGUGCGUCGCCGGUCUGGAGGAGAGCCACAGGGACAAGAGGCUGAUGAUGAAGCUGCACAAGUCCACCAACAGCAGGAUGCGCCCCCACCCGCUGACGCCGACUCUGGCAGGUGAGCAACAAAAAUGCACCGAAAGCUGCCCAGCGUCCACGUUUCAUCCUUUUGAAAGCUUUGACAGAACACGAGAAACGUGAGGCACCCCAUCAGAACGUGACAGGGCCGGGAGAGAACGUACUGGUCGAAGUAAACCGCAGGGCGUAACGAUGUGCCUUUGAGCCUGCGGGACUUGAAAAAAAAAUGGCCAAACUCCCAUGGCACGUUACAUUUUGGCCCAGCAACAUUUUGUUAACAGAGCCUAAAGAGUUCAACAUGGGUUUAGGAACUGGAGUGUGGAUUAACAAUUUAAAUUGCCCAACUCGCUGUUGGAGUCUGCUUCCAACUACUGUUGAGAAGCCCUUGGGCAAGGCACCAACCCCACCCUGUCGAGGUCAAAAGGUGAAGCUCUGUUUGCACAACUUGGUUCACUGUGUAUACAGCAGCAAUUUCCCUUCGAGCGAGGAGUACAGUACAUUCAAAUAAAUUCAACGCACUCUGCCCGCUGUCAGUACAGCACUUUACCUGUAUGCAACUUAAUAUAAAACUAAUUUUGUGUGCAUGAAGUUUUCUUUUCAUCGUGCCAAGUUACAUCAAAAAUUGUUAUUGUACAUAAAUGACGUUUGACUUUUCACAGUUUCAUUUAGGCAAAGGAGUUGAAUCAGUACUUCGAUUAGCAUUCUUUUUUUUUUUUUUUUUUUUUAAUAACGUGUACUUCUGCUUAAGUUCAGAGUGAGAGUACUUUCGUCAUCUCUGGACAGUAGGAGAAUGAAACAAAUGCGCAGAUCUGAAGAGGGAAGAUAUUCGAAUCUCAUGACCAGUGCGGUGCGCACAGCUCGUUUGCGAGGAAGCGGAGCGCUCCACACGUUGACACAGCUGACUGAAUGAAAGAAUCCCGUUUGCACACUGCUAAUCCCUUCAGGGUCUAGUCCCGUGUGGAAAACACCAUGAACUAAUCAAAAGUGCAGGAGAAAAUAAAUAAAAUAAAACCUCAACUGACUCACACAAUAACGCAUACCAAAAAAAUAAAAAUAAAUAAAUAAACGUAUUUCUUCUAAUUUCAUGGUAAGGUUGUAUUGAAUGUGAUUUAACGGGUUAAUUAAAUGAAUACUGCCUUCAUUAAGUUUUAGUUUCUCGUCAGAAUUUUUCGACAUAACGUCUUACCUUCCAUGGUUACUGUAGGUACGUUUGACAUCAGAGACCAGGCCAAAUCUCUCGGGAUCCUUGGAAUUAAACAUGACUGGCAAGGUGAAGGUCACAGCUGAAGAGAAUCCCUCACAAUUGCAGGGGAAACAUACAAAAACU